This 379-nucleotide ribosomal RNA is filed under the name uncultured Rhodoferax sp. Its description in RNAcentral is "bacterial SSU rRNA". It matches the Rfam family "Bacterial small subunit ribosomal RNA", at positions 994 to 1382 of the family's 1533-position model. Lineage: Bacteria; Pseudomonadati; Pseudomonadota; Betaproteobacteria; Burkholderiales; Comamonadaceae. The record is from RNAcentral.
AACGUAGAGAUGACGGUGCAGAAGAGCGCGUAGACAGGUGCUGCAUGGCUGUCGUCAGCUCGUGUCGUGAGAUGUUGGGUUAAGUCCCGCAACGAGCGCAACCCUUGUCAUUAGUUGCUACAUUCAGUUGGGCACUCUAAUGAGACUGCCGGUGACAAGCCGGAGGAAGGUGGGGAUGACGUCAAGUCCUCAUGGCCCUUAUAGGUGGGGCUACACACGUCAUACAAUGGCUGGUACAAAGGGUUGCCAACCCGCGAGGGGGAGCCAAUCCCAUAAAGCCAGUCGUAGUCCGGAUCGUAGUCUGCAACUCGACUACGUGAAGUCGGAAUCGCUAGUAAUCGUGGAUCAGAAUGUCACGGUGAAUACGUUCCCGGGUCUU